AUUCAGAUGGCGAGUCCUAAAUAGGACGGAAUGCGCAUCUUAGAU
This 45-nucleotide non-coding RNA is filed under the name Trichobilharzia regenti. Lineage: Eukaryota; Metazoa; Platyhelminthes; Trematoda; Strigeidida; Schistosomatidae. The record is from RNAcentral.